CCUACGGGAGGCAGCAGUGGGGAAUAUUGCACAAUGGGGGAAACCCUGAUGCAGCGACGCCGCGUGAGUGAAGAAGUAUCUCGGUACGUAAAGCUCUAUCAGCAGGGAAGAUAAUGACGGUACCUGACCAAGACGCCCCUGCUAACUACGUGCCAGCAGCCGCGGUAAGACGUAGGGGGCAAGCGUUAUCCGGAUUUACGGGGUGUAAAGGGAGCGUAGACGGCAGGACAAGUCUUGGGUGAAAUCCCGGGGCUUAACCCCGGAACUGCAUUGGAAAAUGUGCGGCUGGAGUGCAGGAGGGGGAAGCGGAAGUCCUGGUGUAGCGGUGAAAUGCGUAGAUAUUAGGAGGAACACCGGUGGCGAAGGCGGCUUACUGGACUGUAACUGACGUUGAGGCUCGAAAGCGUGGGGAGCAAACAGGAUUAGAUACCCGAGUAGUC
RNAcentral lists this ribosomal RNA (440 nucleotides) under uncultured bacterium. Its description in RNAcentral is "partial 16S ribosomal RNA". It matches the Rfam family "Bacterial small subunit ribosomal RNA", at positions 338 to 795 of the family's 1533-position model. The record is from RNAcentral.